RNAcentral lists this ribosomal RNA (497 nucleotides) under uncultured bacterium. RNAcentral describes it as "partial 16S ribosomal RNA". It matches the Rfam family "Bacterial small subunit ribosomal RNA", at positions 28 to 507 of the family's 1533-position model. The record is from RNAcentral.
GAUGGACGCUGGCGGCGUGCCUAAUACAUGCAAGUCGAGCGAACGGACGAGAAGCUUGCUUCUCUGAUGUUAGCGGCGGACGAGUGAGUAACACGUGGAUAACCUACCUAUAAGACUGGGAUAACUUCGGGAAACCGGAGCUAAUACCGGAUAAUAUUUUGAACCGCAUGGUUCAAAAGUGAAAGACGGUCUUGCUGUCACUUAUAGAUGGAUCCGCGCUGCAUUAGCUAGUUGGUAAGGUAACGGCUUACCAAGGCAACGAUGCAUAGCCGACCUGAGAGGGUGAUCGGCCACACUGGAACUGAGACACGGUCCAGACUCCUACGGGAGGCAGCAGUAGGGAAUCUUCCGCAAUGGGCGAAAGCCUGACGGAGCAACGCCGCGUGAGUGAUGAAGGUCUUCGGAUCGUAAAACUCUGUUAUUAGGGAAGAACAUAUGUGUAAGUAACUGUGCACAUCUUGACGGUACCUAAUCAGAAAGCCACGGCUAACUACGUG